GUAGUUCCUAGGCAGGCAGGUUAGCCUUGGUGCAUGGACUCGCGUUUGAAAACCCAUGGUUUAAAUAGAGGGGGCACCUGCGGUUUCCCCAAAUGUGGGAAACUCGACUGCAUAGUUUGUGGUAGUGGGGGACUGCGUUCGUGCUUUCCCCUG
Molecule: small nuclear RNA, 153 nt
Organism: Delphinapterus leucas (beluga whale)
Lineage: Eukaryota; Metazoa; Chordata; Mammalia; Artiodactyla; Monodontidae
Gene: U1
Rfam family: U1 spliceosomal RNA
About the family: U1 is a small nuclear RNA (snRNA) component of the spliceosome (involved in pre-mRNA splicing). Its 5' end forms complementary base pairs with the 5' splice junction, thus defining the 5' donor site of an intron.
Source: Ensembl